AUUGAACGCUGGCGGAAUGCUUUACACGUGCAAGUCGAACGGCAGCACGGACUUCGGUCUGGUGGCGAGUGGCGAACGGGUGAGUAAUACAUCGGAACGUGCCCAAUCGUGGGGGAUAACGUAGCGAACGCUACGCUAAUACCGCAUACGAUCUAAGGAUGAAAGCGGGGGAUCGUAAGACCUCGCGCGAUUGGAGCGGCCGAUGGAAGAUUAGGUAGUUGGUAGGGUAAAGGCCUACCAAGCCGACGAUCUGUAGCUGGUCUGAGAGGAUGAUCAGCCACACUGGGACUGAGACACGGCCCAGACUCCUACGGGAGGCAGCAGUGGGGAAUUUUGGACAAUGGACGCAAGUCUGAUCCAGCCAUUCCGCGUGCAGGAUGAAGGCCCUCGGGUUGUAAACUGCUUUUGUACAGAACGAAAAGGCUCUGGUUAAUACCUAGGGCUCAUGACGGUACUGUAAGAAUAAGCACCGGCUAACUACGUGCCAGCAGCCGCAGUAA
RNAcentral lists this ribosomal RNA (500 nucleotides) under uncultured bacterium. Its description in RNAcentral is "partial 16S ribosomal RNA". It matches the Rfam family "Bacterial small subunit ribosomal RNA", at positions 30 to 523 of the family's 1533-position model. The record is from RNAcentral.